Molecule: ribosomal RNA, 497 nt
Filed under: uncultured bacterium
Lineage: Bacteria
Description: partial 16S ribosomal RNA
Rfam family: Bacterial small subunit ribosomal RNA
Source: RNAcentral
GAUGAACGCUGGCGGCGUGCCUAAUACAUGCAAGUCGAGCGAACAGAUAAGGAGCUUGCUCCUUUGAAGUUAGCGGCGGACGGGUGAGUAACACGUGGGUAACCUACCUAUAAGACUGGGAUAACUUCGGGAAACCGGAGCUAAUACCGGAUAACAUUUAGAACCGCAUGGUUCUAAAGUGAAAGAUGGUUUUGCUAUCACUUAUAGAUGGACCCGCGCCGUAUUAGCUAGUUGGUAAGGUAACGGCUUACCAAGGCGACGAUACGUAGCCGACCUGAGAGGGUGAUCGGCCACACUGGAACUGAGACACGGUCCAGACUCCUACGGGAGGCAGCAGUAGGGAAUCUUCCGCAAUGGGCGAAAGCCUGACGGAGCAACGCCGCGUGAGUGAUGAAGGGUUUCGGCUCGUAAAACUCUGUUACUAGGGAAGAACAAAUGUGUAAGUAACUGUGCACAUCUUGACGGUACCUAAUCAGAAAGCCACGGCUAACUACGUG